GGGCAAGCGUUAUCCGGAAUUAUUGGGCGUAUAGGGUACGCAGGUGGCCUUUUAAGCGUAGGGUUUAAGGCAAUGGCUCAACCAUUGUUCGCCCUAUGAACUGGAAGGCUUGAGUGCAGGAGAGGAAAGCGGAAUUCCUAGUGUAGCGGUGAAAUGCAUAGAUAUUAGGAGGAACACCAGUGGCGAAGGCGGCUUUCUGGACUGUAACUGACACUGAGGUACGAAAGCGUGGGGAGCAAAC
RNAcentral lists this ribosomal RNA (241 nucleotides) under uncultured bacterium. Its description in RNAcentral is "partial 16S ribosomal RNA". It matches the Rfam family "Bacterial small subunit ribosomal RNA", at positions 532 to 773 of the family's 1533-position model. The record is from RNAcentral.